Molecule: ribosomal RNA, 265 nt
Filed under: uncultured bacterium
Lineage: Bacteria
Description: partial 16S ribosomal RNA
Source: RNAcentral
CUGCUGCCUCCCGUAGGAGUCUGGUCCGUGACUCAGUACCAGUGUGGGGGACCUUCCUCUCAGAACCCCUACGCAUCGUCGCCACGGUGGGCCGUUACCCCGCCGUCUAGCUAAUGCGCCGCAUGCCCAUCCUCUUCCGAUGAAUCUUUCCUCGAUCUCGGAUGCCCGAAACCGAUAUACGCGGGAUUAGCCUCCCUUUCGGAAGGUUGUCCCCCUGAAGAGGGCAGGUUGCAUACGUGUUACUCACCCGUGCGCCGGUCGCCGG